Molecule: ribosomal RNA, 1101 nt
Filed under: Actinomycetes bacterium
Lineage: Bacteria; Bacillati; Actinomycetota; Actinomycetes
Description: bacterial SSU rRNA
Rfam family: Bacterial small subunit ribosomal RNA
Source: RNAcentral
ACCGCAUGGUGGGUGUUGGAAAGAUUUAUCGGUUUUGGAUGGACUCGCGGCCUAUCAGCUUGUUGGUGAGGUAAUGGCUCACCAAGGCGACGACGGGUAGCCGGCCUGAGAGGGUGACCGGCCACACUGGGACUGAGACACGGCCCAGACUCCUACGGGAGGCAGCAGUGGGGAAUAUUGCACAAUGGGCGCAAGCCUGAUGCAGCGACGCCGCGUGAGGGAUGACGGCCUUCGGGUUGUAAACCUCUUUCAGUAGGGAAGAAGCGAAAGUGACGGUACCUGCAGAAGAAGCACCGGCUAACUACGUGCCAGCAGCCGCGGUAAUACGUAGGGUGCGAGCGUUAUCCGGAAUUAUUGGGCGUAAAGAGCUCGUAGGCGGUUUGUCGCGUCUGUCGUGAAAGUCCGGGGCUUAACCCCGGAUCUGCGGUGGGUACGGGCAGACUAGAGUGCAGUAGGGGAGACUGGAAUUCCUGGUGUAGCGGUGGAAUGCGCAGAUAUCAGGAGGAACACCGAUGGCGAAGGCAGGUCUCUGGGCUGUAACUGACGCUGAGGAGCGAAAGCAUGGGGAGCGAACAGGAUUAGAUACCCUGGUAGUCCAUGCCGUAAACGUUGGGCACUAGGUGUGGGGACCAUUCCACGGUUUCCGCGCCGCAGCUAACGCAUUAAGUGCCCCGCCUGGGGAGUACGGCCGCAAGGCUAAAACUCAAAGGAAUUGACGGGGGCCCGCACAAGCGGCGGAGCAUGCGGAUUAAUUCGAUGCAACGCGAAGAACCUUACCAAGGCUUGACAUGUUCUCGAUCGCCGUAGAGAUACGGUUUCCCCUUUGGGGCGGGUUCACAGGUGGUGCAUGGUUGUCGUCAGCUCGUGUCGUGAGAUGUUGGGUUAAGUCCCGCAACGAGCGCAACCCUCGUUCCAUGUUGCCAGCACGUAAUGGUGGGGACUCAUGGGAGACUGCCGGGGUCAACUCGGAGGAAGGUGAGGACGACGUCAAAUCAUCAUGCCCCUUAUGUCUUGGGCUUCACGCAUGCUACAAUGGCCGGUACAAUGGGUUGCGAUACUGUGAGGUGGAGCUAAUCCCAAAAAGCCGGUCUCAGUUCGGAU